UACAGAGGUCUCAAGCGUUGUUCGGAUUCAUUGGGCGUAAAGGGUGCGUAGGCGGCGCGGUAAGUCGGGUGUGAAAUCUCAGGGCUCAACCCUGAAACUGCACUUGAUACUGCUCUGCUUGAGGACUGGAGAGGAGACUGGAAUUCACGGUGUAGCAGUGAAAUGCGUAGAUAUCGUGAGGAAGACCAGUGGCGAAGGCGGGUCUCUGGACAGUUCCUGACGCUGAGGCGCGAAGGCCAGGGGAGCAAACGGG
Molecule: ribosomal RNA, 253 nt
Filed under: uncultured bacterium
Lineage: Bacteria
Description: partial 16S ribosomal RNA
Rfam family: Bacterial small subunit ribosomal RNA
Source: RNAcentral